AGUGAACGCUGGCGGUAGGCCUAACACAUGCAAGUCGAACGAACUCUUCGGAGUUAGUUGCGGUCGCGUGAGUAACGCGUCGGAACGUGCCUUUUGGUUCGGAAUAACACAGGGUAACUUGUGCUAAUACAGAAUGUGUCACUCGGGGAAAAGAUACAUCGUCCUUAGUGCGGCCGGCGUCGGUUGAGCCUGUGGCGGUGGAAACGGCCCACCAAGGAGAGGAUCAUUAGCUGGUUUGAGAGGAUGACAAGCCACACUGAGACUGAGACCCGGCGCAGAGUCCUACAGGAGGCAGCAGUGGGGGAUCUUGCGCAAUCGGCGAAAGGCAGACGCAGCCAUGGCGCGUGAAUGAUGAAGGUCUUAGGAUAGUAAAAUUCUUUCACCGGCGACUAUAAUGACGGUACCCGAAGAAGAAGCCCCGGCUAACUUCGUG
This 433-nucleotide ribosomal RNA is filed under the name uncultured bacterium. Its description in RNAcentral is "partial 16S ribosomal RNA". It matches the Rfam family "Bacterial small subunit ribosomal RNA", at positions 29 to 507 of the family's 1533-position model. The record is from RNAcentral.